UACGUAGGGUGCAGGCGUUAAUCGGAAUUACUGGGCGUAAAGCGUGCGCAGGCGGUUUGCUAAGACAGGUGUGAAAUCCCCGGGCUUAACCUGGGAACUGCGCUUGUUACUGGCAAGCUUGAGUAUGGCAGAGGGGGGUGGAAUUCCACGUGUAGCAGUGAAAUGCGUAGAGAUGUGGAGGAACACCGAUGGCGAAGGCAGCCCCCUGGGCUAACACUGACGCUCAUGCACGAAAGCGUGGGGAGCAAACAGG
This 253-nucleotide ribosomal RNA is filed under the name uncultured bacterium. RNAcentral's name for it is "partial 16S ribosomal RNA". It matches the Rfam family "Bacterial small subunit ribosomal RNA", at positions 524 to 776 of the family's 1533-position model. The record is from RNAcentral.